Molecule: transfer RNA, 73 nt
Filed under: Armatimonadota bacterium
Lineage: Bacteria; Bacillati; Armatimonadota
Description: Armatimonadetes bacterium (rhizosphere metagenome) tRNA-Glu
Source: RNAcentral
GGCCCCAUCGUCCAUGGGUUAGGAUCGGCGGCUUUCAACCGCCGGAAGCGGAGUUCAAGUCUCGCUGGGGCUA